Phascolarctos cinereus (koala) is the source of this 1180-nucleotide non-coding RNA. NCBI's taxonomy places the organism in Eukaryota, Metazoa, Chordata, Mammalia, Diprotodontia, Phascolarctidae. The record is from RefSeq and is a predicted model, not a curated record.
CGUAAAAGACACAGUGUCAGCCCUCCGGAGUACCUUCCUGGAGAUAAAGCAGUCAGAGCAGCCCACAACACCAGGAGAGAAAGGAGAAGUGCGUGGAUCACCACGGCUGAGCUGUUCCAGGAGCUUUGGGGAAACUUACCAUCUUCUACUUCUCUCCUGUGCCACGUAAUACAGUGUAAAAGCUCACAAAUCAGAGCCCAUAGUCAAAGAAGAGAGUCCAAGCUUCCAGCAGGAGAGGUAUAAGGAAGAUGAAGAGGCUGGGCAGAGUAUAGGUGGAACAGCUUGGAAAUGACUGCGGCAGUUGCCAUGGACAAGUUGACAAUCUGCAUUUGGAGGCUGUUUCCACCCUGGGAUUCUCCACGCUGAUGAAAUCACAAGUCUCCCCUCCCCCUGGCUCCCACUGAAAAUUAUUUCCUAGGUGACCUCAGGAAACCUGGGAGACAUCACCUACCGUGGGCACCAUUAUUCCUACCAUUCCCACCAUCGUCCCUCUUCCAGCCGUUCUGCGUGCUGCCCCCAACUCAGCAGUAUGGGUAUGUCCACCACAAAGAGAAGGGAGAGAGGAGGAGAUGCUGGAGAUGUCUGUUCUUGCUUCGCUUUGAGCCACAUCUAGACAGACCCAUGUGGACAUGUGUAACCUACGUGGGCAAAAUAACAAAGCAAUAGCGUGCGCACGGGUGCGCGCACACGCACGCGCGCACACACACACACACACACACACACACACACACACAUCCUUGUACCAAAAAUAAGAAAAUAGGAUCAUUGAAGCAUUUUUAAAAAGGCACAAAGGGAACCAGAAGAAAGUUCUGAAGGAAACACAAGUUUCAAUGAAGCAAGAUAGCUUGAAAUUGAAAGCAAUAUGUGAAUUUUUGUGCCUAUUUUUAAAAGCUCAAGCUGUACAAAACAGAGAUUCAAAGUUUCAUAUAUACACUCUCUUUUCUGUUCUACUUUGUAAAUGGAAAUGUUGUUUUUGUGUGUGUUUGUUAAAAUGAAAAUGAAAAAAAAGUUUUAAAAGAAAUCCAUCAAAAUAGCUUCUUCUAUUUGAGAGUAUAAUUCUGAAUAGUAACCCUGCAGGAACAUGACUCCUGAUUUUCUGAGAGAAGAAUGGGGAUGGAUUUACUUUCCUUGGUCCAGUUGGACCUGCCUUGGCCCAAGGCCACCUGGAAUUCCCAGUUCU